Molecule: ribosomal RNA, 106 nt
Filed under: bovine gut metagenome
Source: RNAcentral
GGUGGUUACAGCGUCGGGGUCCCACCUCUUCCCAUUCCGAACAGAGAAGUUAAGCCCGACCGCGCCGAUGGUACUGCGGUAACACGUGGAAGAGUAGGUCGCCGCC